CACUUGGAACGUCAUUAACAUCUGUCAUGCAAUAUUUUUGCUCCCUAUUGUCCGUGGUCGCAAAUGUAGGCGGAGUAAAUUUUAAUUUUUAGUUUAUUAGCCGUUCUCGUUCCACUUUUCGAUAAUAUUCUUUUAUUUUCUACCACCGCGCCGAGUGUUGUAUUUUCGCUAAAGUAUAAAACAGUGAUGUGAAUUGUGUAUUUAAAUCAGUGCCUUUCUUUUGAUAUGCUUUUGUGAUUAUGAUGUCAUAUUUCUGUUUAGAUUCUUGAAAAAUGAGUGUUAGUGUCGAGCUGGACGUGUCCAGUCCCUUGUCCGAAGGGCAAAGCGCUAAUUCUGAAGAAAUAUCUAAAUCUUCCGAGAGUUCAACCAAAGACCUUGGUUCAAAUUGUAAUAAUGAUAAAUCCGAGCCUGGUUCUCCCAAACCUCAUCCGAUGGCGUUCACGAUCGACUUCGGCGAGGCUAAGAAGGUUGACAACCGUAGACUUGAGGAAUUGGCUAAAAAAUCGCAAGCAAGACAUCAAAGGGUACAAUCGAUGUCUGCUAGUAUAACUAAACCCGCUUCAGCCCCUCAGAAAACUCCAAUGAGCGCGAAACUCCCUAGGAAAGCCCAAGGUUACAAUUCUGAGGGUUAUUUCUCAUCCGAUCAAGAAGAUAGUGGCUUAUCCGGUUCGGUUAAACUCCGGAGUAGUCCAUUAGCUCAAUCCACUCAAAUCACUUCUCCAAUAAUUAAUAGACAUGUCAAAUCGCCCAUUAUAGACAGCUUCCAGCCAAAAAGAACGUCCAAAAGUCCAAUUGUUGAUAGUAUUAUGUCCAGAAGUGAAAAUUAUACUACAAGACAAGAUCUGCGAUUGCCGUUGAAAAAUGCAGCAAGUUCCUAUUUGCGAGACGUCCAUAGAACGCCUAGUUACGGUAACUUAUCCUCUAGUUAUCAACAAAAACAUAAUAUAUCAGAUAUUGUUGAUCAAAGUCCUGAUGGAAUGAUGCUAACAGAUAUCUCAAGUCCAGAACUCGACAUUCUGACCCCUGAUAAUGGUUUAUCCACCCCAGAAUUGUCAAAAAGCCCAUUAAUAAGAAAAACCAGGGCUACAUCUGAAACACCAGAUUUGUUCAAGAAAUGCGUACCCAAAGUUGAGCCUUUGUACGUAGAUGAUGAUAUAGAUGGACAGUCUAAUAAUUCUUCUACUGGUACGUACACAAUUGAAGGUGAUAACUAUACUGAAGAGCAAAAAGAAAGAAUGAGCAUCGACCGUACAUUCGGAACAGACUUAUUAACCAAUGCAAUAGAAGAGACAAUAAAUAAACGCAAUGAUAGGGAUCCAGAACUAGUAUUUGACAUGCCUAACCAACGAGUUAUAACGAAAGAGCCACGAAGAGAUGUUGCAUUAAGAAGUCCGUUAACAAACAAAACAUUUGACUUACCAAAAGUGUCCAAAGAAAAGAAUGUACUAGAAAUAUCCUGCUGUUACGAAUCACCCAAUGAGAGCGAUUUGGCUGCUCAAACUUCGAAACAGAUAAAAUCAACCAGGAGUUACUUAGAGAAAAUCAAAAAUAGAGUACGAACUAUAACAGAAAAGACAUUCACUAAACCUCCAUGUAAGCAAGAAGACGCAGAUGUGGGCAGUUUCACAUCUGUGACAACAUCGGGCGUUCUAAGUUCAAAAAACCCGGUAAAAAUCGAAGCGCCAAUGAGAAGGCGUUGCAGUUUGACAAAAUCGGAAAUAGACAAAACGGAUUACGUGCACAGAUUAUCAAGGGAGUCUUCCGUGCCAGUGUCGUUGCCCACCGCUAGACUUUCAGAGGAAAAAUAUGAGAGUACUGUAAUGAAGAAUGCUCAAAGAGCGGUCAAAGAUGUGACGGCGGAACAGGUCGUGGGCAAGCUGUCGUAUUUGAGCCUGAACAGGUGUAAAGGUGAUAAGACCUGGAUCCAGGAUUGGGCGGAGAGUGUGAAGAAAUACAAUGGGUUGGAUGAGGUUCCGUGUGACGAUAGACCGCCGAUUAGCCCGCGACAUGUGACUGGGAAGCCACCUAGCCCACACGGCGGCGGCUCUCCCACUAAAAUUCCAAGUCCCGUGGGUACUAUGAUGCAUAGAAGGACGCCGGAUCUAAUUCCAGUGCAGGACACGGAAUCGUACUUACUUAAAACUCAAAACGCGAUAUGCAAUCUGCAAGCGAAAUUGCAAUCAUCCAGAACUAAUAAUUUCUCGAACAUUCCAUCAACACUCACCUCGAGUUUGAUAAGCGAAAAAACCGCUAUUUCUCGCCUGCCAGUGUCCCAACUAAGUCGCUCAAACUCGCUGAAUUAUCGGCUCAGACGCAAAGACAACUCGAACGAUAGCAGUCCUUUAAGAAGCCCGGGGCAUUACGUCAUCACUGGCUCAGCGAAAAUUCCAGAAAGCACCCGAAUCUUCCACAAUUCCGCUUCGAGAUCGCUUGAUACGGAAAGGAGGAAACAUGAUUCAAACAUGAACAGCCCCUGUUCCGAAAGAGGUCUGCUAAGCAACAGUUCUGAUGACAAAACUUUAUCUAACAGGCCUAAUUACGAUGUAGAAGCCAUCUUAUCACCUCACAGAAAAACGCACGCGCGGCACAAAACGUUCGACAUUAAAAACGAAUUUUUCGGCCCCGAUUUCAGUAAUGCGAAUCGUACAGUUUGUCUCAAGACUGUUCUAAAGAAUAACGCCAUGGAAACUAAAAGUCCUAAGAUUGAUCAAACCCGUUGUCAAGGAGAUAAGACGCAUCAAAGAGUUUAUAGUGAUGGCAGAAAACCCAAUACAGUCGCGUUCGGCAGUUCAAUAAAGAGAUCUAGUUCCUUCAACAUUGUAAAUAAAAACAAUAAUUAUAUCGAUCCUAGAUUGAUAUCAAGACGUUCUAGCGGUCAUUCUGAAGAGUAUAAAGAUUAUUUGUCAGAUGAUUCUGAAGUUUCCCUUGAUAAGUCUCAAGAUGUUAGAUAUAAAAGGGUGCACAGAGGUAGAAUUGAUUCACCAGAUUUGAAAUCCAUCGCGCCGGCUAAUUCGCCGCGCUGUCCUAAUACGCCCGAAAUGCAAAGAAAAUUCGGGCCGGGAUUGGUUAGGAAUUCGGUUAGGGUGACCAAUAAGGAGCGAGGAUUGAAUACGCGGAUGUCUGAACCGCCAAUCGCGAGGGAGGAGAGGAAACCGGCCAAUCAUCAGAGCAGAAGGAUAUCUGACCCGACGAGACAGCAAGUUCUUAAUAGACUGACCAAAUCCAGGUCUUCCACGAGGGAGUUUCAGCCUAAGAAUCAAGAAAAAGGUCAAAAAAAGCCCGCCCAGUACAGAUCUUCGUCAGCGUUAGCCUCGAAGGAGGCUGAAUACACCAAUUGGAAGAAGAGGUCUUCCUAUGACCCUAUGAAGGCUGCGCAGGAGGGUAGGAGACGGCAGAUGAUGACAAAGAGGCAAGAUAAUAAAGAUGAUCUCAGUUCGCCGAGCCACUCGUCUCCAGUCCACCGCUCCCAGUCUUUUCACAGCAGCAACGUUCAGCUAGGGCUGGACUACUCCUCAGAGGAGGAGGCCACCCUGCCAGCGGAUCCAAUGAUAACGUCCACGCAUUCCGAUAUCCUGGACCUGAGGGAACGGAGACAGUUGCCUGGAGGUGACGGCUUUAAGAUAAACCAGUUAAUGCAAAAGCCGAAACGUCAUAGCGCGGACAAGCGGAAAACUUACAUAAUAGACGACAUAACACCGACCAAAGAGAACAUAGACUUUCUGCCGAAGCAUAGAGAAGAGGUCAUAGACAAGAGGAAAACGUUCAUAUUGGACAGCGACACUAAUUCUACAACGAAUGGCAGCAGCCCGAGAAACUCUAGCAUAUUCAGUCAUGAGAAACAUUCGCUUACUACCGGCACUAGCGACACAGAAGGGGAGAGUGGUACUGAAAGCGCGCCCGUGGUACUACGCAACAAGCGGGCCCCCGCCACCAAGCAGAGAUACAGCGGUGACUUUUCAAUGUCAUCGUCGACGACCUCCAUAGGACAAAAGCGGCCGAAGGAGAUCCAGCCACGCUAUCUAGACAUAUCUAAAUAUAAAACUGAGAAUAAUGGGAAAACUUUCUUAAGGAGGGACCCCAGUAAGACCUAUGUCGGUGUUUUGGGGGAAAAAGUCAGUAAGGGGAGCGCUCAGCAGAUUGAAAUGGAACAAAAGAAACAAGAAUUAGAAAAAUGGAAACGACGAGCGUCGUACGAUCCGAGGAAAGCCGCAGCGCAAGCCAAAACCAACAAGACACCGCCCAAAACGGCCAGAGCGUGAGGGAUGACAAAUGCAUGCAAUUCUGGCCAAAGUGAAACCGGGGCGGCCAACUAGUACGCAAUUUGAGCAGCGUUCUUCGCUCCCAGUCGUUCCACGGGCCCGUCUUAGCGUCGACUAGCCUACGGUACCAGCCGCCCACGCAGAUCACAGAGAACUACGACCAAACGAGCGACAACGACUUUUAAAACGUCUUGUCGUGACAGAUUUGAGAGUGUAUUGAUAGGCGAUAUAAGAAGUGGGAUGUGAUCGUGAAACUGAUCCCACUAUUGAUAUCGGGUCGAUAAAGUAUGUUAAUUUUGUCGUAUAUGCCUUUCUUCUCUUUAAUCAAGAAUUUACAAUUAAAAUCAAACGUAUUUUUUUUAUCUUUGACCAGAUUGAUGUUAAUCGUCGAUGUACCUUUUUUAUAUUUUGAAAAAGCUCCAAAAUAUUUAAAAACAUUACAUAAAAGUAAAGAGAUCUAGUGGUUAAUGUGUACAAUUUGAAGAUACGUGUGUCAAAAUGCCUGGGUUGGAAACGCACUGCGGACCAAUAUUGACUGUGGGAAAAUAUUGAAGCAACUGUAUUUUUAACUAAGAUCCAGGCUUAAUUAGGUAAAUCUGAAUCAAAUGUUUUUUAAGACGCUAUCGUAACUCUCAAAUUUGUUGCUUACGAGACAUAAAAGAGACGAAAGUCGACGGUAAAUGUGAUAAUGGAGUGUGAAUGUCCGAAUUUUUAUAUUGAUUAUAUUGUCUAUGGUAUCAUUAAAGUUAAGGGUAUGUGCGCUUAUUGUUAUUGGCUAUAAAGUAGAGCGUUUUCUCUUGGCAUUUUUUUGGCUGUUUGCAAAACUAUAUACCUUUGCUAAACGUUUGACAAAUGUCAAUUUACGCGCCAAAAGUUUGUUGUUGCGCCAAUUUUGUUCAAAUUUCGAAGUUAGUCAUAUUGUUGUUUUAUAAUUGACUUUUAUAAUAGGUACCUAAGUAAACAUAUGGAUUUGGGUCGAUGCAAUGUUUAGUUUUAUAAUAAUUGUAAUUUUUUUUUCUCAUAAUAAUAUGUACUGAUUGAUGCACAAUAUAUUUUUACCCAAAUUCCAAUUCGAUAUUAAUGGAUUUAUGGUAUUUACAAUAAUUUGUCAUACUUUUGUAAAUUAAUAUCUUCCUUUUAUAGAUUUUAAAUGGAAAUUAAUUACUUGUUAUGUGAUAAUUGUAGAAUUAUACAAUUAAUGUAUCAUUAUCCAAGGUAAGGUUUAUUUUGUAUUAUUUAAUAUGCUUUAAAUGCGGUAUUAUUUCGAAAUUUAUAUCCAAAUAGUUGCUCAUUUCGUCCCGUACAUCGAUUUAGUGAUUAAGUUUAUAUAUUUUUUGUAGGUUAUUAUAUUAUUUUUCAUUUAUUCUUUAUUUUUAGUGCAAUAUAAACAUCACACAGACCGCAAUGUAUAAAAAUCAUUAAAUUAUAAGUCGCAUACAAUGGAAUAUAGUUCAUAGAUAAAUUCAUAGAUUUAAUAUUAUAUUCAAAUCAAAGAUUAAGUUUUGAAAAAUAAAGACAACCCCCGUGGUAUAAUCUCAGGGGACUGUGAUUCGAUACCGUUCAGAAAAAUAUUUAUUUAUUUACGAUACAAGUAAGAGCAAGAUAUGUCGAUGAAAAUUAUUCUAUUGAGGUCAUCUAAAUCAGUUUCAUUUUAAAUUUAAUUGAAAUGAUACCUUAUUUAAAUAAAAUUGAAAAUGUACUUUCUUAUAAAAAUGUCUAGUUUUUUUGGUCUUAUUAUGAACGCGUCUGCUUUCUCUUACUGUCUGUUUUAUCAGAGAUUUUCCAUUCAUAGUAUAUAAUUCAUUUCGUAAAUCUAUGAGAAUUAAUGUUUAGUUUUGAGAGAUCAAAGCUUUUAGCGACACGAAACGGACAAAAUAUAUUUAAUCGUUACAUAAAUAUUGGUUAUUUUUACGACAGGAACAAAAUAUAUUUUGUUAUGAAAUUGUUAUAAUUGUGUUAAAGUCAUUGAAAAUACUCAAUAUUUUGUUUUCAUGAAGUGUAGGUGUAGCCUGUAAACUUAAAAAAAAGAAAAAAUAUGCGUUUGAUAUCACAUGUCAAAUGUCAAUUUACGCGCCAAAAAUUUAAUUUAGUGUAAAGUAAAUUUUGCUAAUAAUAAAAAGUGAAGUGUGUAUAAAAAAUAUUGGCAUAAGUUUGCAAGUAAUAAAUAUUCCAAUAUCAACAUUGUUUCUAUAGACUAUGUUUAUGAUAUAAUAACUUUUUAUGGCGAAUAAUAUAUUUUUUUCAUAAUAUACUUACAGAUAUAGCUUUCGUAUCUAUUUUCCUUGAAAUAGUGUCUUGAUUUUAUAUUCUUAUAUUUGUUUGUAAAAUAUAUAUUUUCGUCAUUAUCGAUAAUGAAAUUGCGAAAUAGGUAUCAAUAUUUACAUCUUUAUUUACAAACGAAGAUUUAUUAGGUUUCAUAGCGAAAGUAAAAAGUUAUCGAUCGUAAUGUAUUCGUAAAAAAAUAUUACACUGAAAAAUUUUCUGAGAAAAUUCGACUUUUUAAAUUGUUUGGGUUGACAUUUUAUAUAAUGUAAAGCAUGUUAAAAUGUUUGUGUUGUCCGGUUAAUGUUAAUUUAGCCCGUCCUGUUAGCUUUGGCCGUGUUAUAGAGAAGCUUCAUAAGUUGCAAUGUAAAAAUCUCGAUGCGAGCGUAGAUUUAUGUUGUAAGCUCUAUUGAUGUUUAGAAUUUCGUAUAAAAUAUUUAUCAGAAAAAUAAUAAAAAGCAGUAUAAAAUA
Molecule: RNA transcript, 6992 nt
Organism: Amyelois transitella
Lineage: Eukaryota; Metazoa; Arthropoda; Insecta; Lepidoptera; Pyralidae
Exons: 11
Source: RefSeq, a predicted model, not a curated record